AUUGAACGCUGGCGGCAGGCCUAACACAUGCAAGUCGAGCGGAGGGGCGGACGGGGGAGUAAUGCCUAGGAAUCUGCAUGUGAGUGGGGGAUGACGUCCGGAAACGGGAGCUGAUGCCACCUACUAUCAGCAGAGGCUGGGGCGGAUUAGCUAGUUGGUGGGGUAAAGGCCUACCAAGGCGACGAUCCGGAACUGGUCUGAGAGGAUGACCAGUCACACUGGAACUGAGACACGGUCCAGACUCCUACGGGAGGCAGCAGUGGGGAAUAUUGGACAAUGGGCGAAAGCCUGAUGCAGCCAUGCCGCGUGUGUGAAGAAGGUCUUCGGAUUGUAAAGCACUUUAAGCUGGGAGGCGUUACCCACAGAAUAAGCACCGGCUAACUCCGUGCCAGCAGCCGCGGUAAUUC
Molecule: ribosomal RNA, 407 nt
Filed under: uncultured bacterium
Lineage: Bacteria
Description: partial 16S ribosomal RNA
Rfam family: Bacterial small subunit ribosomal RNA
Source: RNAcentral